RNAcentral lists this long non-coding RNA (1838 nucleotides) under Olea europaea subsp. europaea. The record is from RNAcentral. Lineage: Eukaryota; Viridiplantae; Streptophyta; Magnoliopsida; Lamiales; Oleaceae.
UCAUAACAGACCCCCCUUCUUAGGAAACCUUGUCCUCAAGAUUAUGAAAUCGCCUCCUUAUGGUGUCUAGGUCUUCUCAGGUAGCAUCUUCCUCGUUGGCCCCAGGCCAUUGUACCAAGACCUGAACUCCGGCAACGUUUUCCUUUCUUUUCAGCCUCUUUUGCAAGAUUCUCUCAGGUUCGAGUUCCAAGGAGCCUUCAGACGUGAUGAGCGAUAGGUGUGCACAAGCUUGUAUUCCUUCUCCUAGCUUUCUCUUGAGGCACAAAAUAUGAAACAAAGGAUAGAUCUUAGCUUCAGGAGGUAGAUCGAGCUCAUAUGCGACUUGACCCACCCUUCAAAUCACUCUAAAAGGCUGAAAAUAUCUCGGUACAAUCUUCAAGUUCCUUCGCAAUGCUACUGUCAUUUGUUGAUACAGCCGUAACUUGAGGUAAACCAAGUCUCCAAUUUCAAACUCUUAGUACCUCCUUGUUUUAUCAGCAAAAUAUUUCAUCUUUGAUUAGGCUUCCUGCAGGUUCUCCUUGAUGAGUUUAGCAAUAAACUCUCGUGUUCGAAGUUCUUUAUCAAUACCUUUCACUUUAGUGGAUCCUACCUCAUAUGGUAACAUUCGAGGUGGUAGCUGACCAUAAAUAGCUUCAAAAGGUGUUACCUUCAUGGAUGUAUGUACUGAGGUAUUAUAGGAAUACUCAGCUAAAGGUAACCACUUUGCCCAAUCUUUCGAUUUGUCACUUGAAAAACAUUGGAGGUAGCAUUCAAGCACUUUAUUCAUGGCCUUUGUUUGGCCAUCCGUUCGAGGAUGAUAGGCUGUGCUAAGUAAUAAAUCUAUUCCACAUAACCUUAAUAGUUCCUUCCAAAAAUUGCUUGUAAACACAGGAUCUCGAUCACUAAAAAUUGUUUGUGGUAGCCCGUGUAAUUUGAAAACAUUAUCCAUAAAAACUCUAGCCACCGUUAGUGCUGUGUAUGGAUGAUUAAUAGGCAUAAAAUGAGAAUACUUACUUAGCCUAUCCACCACCACAAGGGUCAUUGUCUUUUCUCCUGAGGGGGGUAGACCCUCAAUGAAAUCUAUGCUGAUAUCUUCCUAGUUUUUGCUAGGUAUCGGUAAAGGCUGAAGCAACCCCAUAGGGUGGAGGGCUUUUACUUUAUUCCUCUAGUAUACAUCACAUGCCUUGACAUGUGUUAUGACAUCAUUUUGCAAACCAGGCCAAUAAAAUUCCUUUUUUGUUAUUGUGUGGGUCUUUAAUACACUUGUGUGGCCCCCUAAUGGACUGACGUGGAACUAGUGCAGGAUUUGCUGCUGGAAGGGAACCAAUGAUCGAGAUGUAGUCUAUUCUCGUAAAAGAGUAACUCAUUUCAGAGUUGGUAAUGAGUUAGGUCCAAUUCUCCAUGAUGGUAGUGGCUUAUCAACUUCUGCAACAUGGGGUCCUGAAGGUAAGCCUUCUUCAACUCUUCUAUCCACUGAGCUUGUAAAAUGCUGAUGGCUUGGUUUUGGAUAAUUCGAUUUUUUUUGUGUGGUUUGGUUUGUGGUUGGGAUUAGUAUUUGGUCUCUGUUUGGGUCUUGGGGUUCUAAGUAUUGCACCCGAGAUAAGGCAUCAGCUGCUGCAUUACUCUUGCCACUUCUAUAUUCCACCAUGAAGUCAUACCCAAGCAAUUUAAAGACCUAUUUUUGUUGUGAGAGGGUCCCUACCCUUUGUUUCAGCAAGUAUUCGAGUGCCUUCUGGUCAGUAUGUACCUUGAAGGACUGUCCCAACAGGUAGUGUCUCUAUUUCCUCACUGCCAUCACUAGUGCCAAUAAUUCCUUUUCAUAAGUGGAAAGGUUCAGAUUCCACCCUUUUAAAGACUGG